CUUUNGGGGGGGGGGGGGACUUUUUUUAGUCGAAAAUUUUAGAGAUAUAUUGAUAGAUACUUCAAGCAAACACUAAGCAAAGGAAAAUAUAGUGAGACGUUCAAAGUGGAAAACUUAGUUUUGGUCGGAGUAUCACACUUUCUAUUUCGUUUUGAAUCUGUUUCUCUCAAGUUUCUCCGUGUCUGAGGUUUUGCACAGAAUUCUGGUUGAUCGUAUGUGUUCGAGUUUCCAUUUGUUUGUAAAGUUGUUGUUCAUCUAGCUCGUCACUGUCUCCACUUCGCUGCCCGGAAAGAGAUUGGGUCACAAAAUCCCAAUACUGUUAUCUCUUGAGUCAGUCGGUCAAUGGAAACAAGGAACGGGUUUUCAAAAGUCGACGCAUAGGUUCAUUUAGUUAAGCAUGUACUUCAGUUGAAUUUAAUGUUGACGCACAAUUGUUUGUUGUGAAAUGCACAUGAUCGGUGGUGGAAUCCUAUUCGGACUCAAAUACUUCUUCAUCCUAUUAACGUUAUCUCUUGCGUCAGUCGGUCAAUGGAAACGAGGAACAGGUUUGCAAAAGUCAAUGCAUAGAAGAAUCGGAUGAGAAUUGGAAAUAUUGUCAAAUUUGUAUUUUUGUUAUUUUUGGGUCUAAGCCCUUGUCUUUUGCUAUUAUCAUUACCAUGUUAGAAUUUUAGGAAAAGUGGAAGAUGGUCCUAAGGCCCAAAGAGAUAAAUUUCAUAAUUUUAGCUUGGGAUACAUACAAAGGUGGCAAGAAUUGGGCCUUUGGCCCAAAACAAAAAGAGGUCCAAGUAUUGGCCCAGGUGGACAUAAAUAAGACUUGGGCUCAACUCUCUCUUCCUCUUUA
This is a long non-coding RNA of Solanum pennellii, 841 nucleotides long. RefSeq lists it as uncharacterized. Lineage: Eukaryota; Viridiplantae; Streptophyta; Magnoliopsida; Solanales; Solanaceae. The transcript has 2 exons. The record is from RefSeq and is a predicted model, not a curated record.